Molecule: ribosomal RNA, 413 nt
Filed under: uncultured microorganism
Description: bacterial SSU rRNA
Rfam family: Archaeal small subunit ribosomal RNA
Source: RNAcentral
GUGCACCAGUCGCGAAACCUCCGCAAUACACGAAAGUGUGACGGGGCCAUCCCGAGUGCCGUCCGCUGAGGACGGCUUUUCCCCAGUGUACACAGCUGGGGGAAUAAGGAGAGGGCAAGCCUGGUGUCAGCCGCCGCGGUAAUACCAGCUCUCCGAGUGGUGGGGACGCUUAUUGGGCCUAAAGCAUCCGUAGCCGGCUGGGCAAGUCCUCCGUUAAAUCCAACGAUUCAAUCGUUGGGCUGCGGGGGAUACUGUCCAGCUUGGGGGCGGGUGAGGCCGACGGUAUUCCCGGGGUAGGGGUGAAAUCCUAUAAUCCCGGGAGGACCACCAGUGGCGAAGGCUGUCGGCUAGAACGCGCCCGACGGUGAGGGAUGAAAGCUGGGGGAGCGAACCGGAUUAGAUACCCCUGUAGU